Molecule: transfer RNA, 73 nt
Filed under: Astralium haematragum
Lineage: Eukaryota; Metazoa; Mollusca; Gastropoda; Trochida; Turbinidae
Description: tRNA-Phe
Source: RNAcentral
GUCUCGAUAGCUCAAACUUUUAAUUAGAGCAUAAUAUUGAAGCUGUUAAGGUGGGCACAUAGCCCUCGGGACA